Lagenorhynchus albirostris (white-beaked dolphin) is the source of this 2214-nucleotide long non-coding RNA. RefSeq lists it as uncharacterized. The transcript is spliced from 3 exons. NCBI's taxonomy places the organism in Eukaryota, Metazoa, Chordata, Mammalia, Artiodactyla, Delphinidae. The record is from RefSeq and is a predicted model, not a curated record.
CCAUCACGGAGCCAGUUGCCCAGCUUGUGUCUGAGUCUCAUCGAGUGGGAAGGUAAAUUUUAAUGAGAUUUUGCUGCUAUCUCUUGAGUUCCUCCAGGAUGAAGAGUGCCUUUGGUAAGACCUAGGACAUCUGUGAGCAAAGGCGGACUGACGGUAGGUGAUCGGGUUGUUCCCUCCCAUCCCCAGAUUCAGUACCUGUACCUGCCCACCCCCCUCACACUUGGUCACUGUCGUGUUUAAUGGGUGUGGAAUAAAAAGCAGCUCAAGACUUUGUGCCUCUGUUCCCUAAACCAUAUCCCAGCCUAACAAGGACGGCCGGGGCCUCCAAACACAAGCCAUGAGAAUUGAGUUUCCUGCAUUUUUCAGGAUAACGUCAAUAGAAUGGCAAUAACUUGUCUGGGUGAUUGGAUUUUAUAUACACGAAUUUCAUCUCCAGUGGCAGCACAGUGACUUGGUCAUAAUAGAUAAAGGAAGAUCUAAAGCUGCCUGGACCGAAGGACGCUCUUGAUCACAUGGGAUGUAGCCGUGGCUGCGUGUCAACAGUGUUUCUGGUCAGAAUCUCCGUGUCCACGAGGUCAGUGGGUAGGUUACUGGAGGUACAUUGCAAAUCAGGGUACAAAGCCUGCUGUGCACCGAGAAUACACACCAGCUGGUGCUCGCAAGGACUGCUGUCCAUCAGUACAACUGCUGUCUUUCUGCUGCAUUUGGGUCUCUGGUGUACUAAACGAGCAGAACCUACCUGAACGCAAGGACCCACCUCCCGGUGUUGGCGUCUGGGGACAGGUUGGGAGCUACACACAGUAGAAAAGUUGUGGCUGGAAUGAGCUCUGUCAGUAGCUGCUGUUGGGGGCAAGUCAUCCCUGGGGCGUCCUGAACAGGCCCACGUGCAGCAGGGAACAGACGGGCUCCGCUGGGGCUGAGUGCCAAGGGCGGGAUGCGGUGAUCAGGCAAACGCGGGGUGACCCUCCGUGAACAGGUCAGUGACAGGCGGCCGAGUGCAGGUCCCGCUUCCUGGGUGGGGCGUGGGGACAGGACAUCCCAGCAGGGUGGCAGAGAAGACACGGCUGACACACGAGACUAGCCCCCAAGGCUGGGUCUCUUCGCUGCCAAGGCCAAGGGGCCCAUGAACUGUACGCCAGGACUCGGGUGGCUACGGCUUGUGCGUGGAUGCGGUGGGAACCAGCCUUCUCAGCGUUUGUGUAACUGCAGAGGAAGGUGAGUUCUGACGGAGCUUCCCGUGAACCAUUACCACAUUAUAAAUCAAUGAAAAUUUACCAAACUCUAGAAGAGGCAGCUACACACCCGGGCUGACGACAGCCGUCUGGGCUCUCCCACCACGACGGCGUCACUGUGCCACCGCCGCCUGGCCCGAGGAGCAGCGCCACCUCCUUGGGACGUAAGAAAGAGGGUGUUAUUACUUCUUCAAGGAGGUAUGAACCUAGUCUGGCUACAUAUCCCCGUCGUAUCUGAAGGGCUGUAUCUAGACUCGUGGGAUUUAGAGCUAGAUCGGUUCUCAGAAGUCGCUUCAUCCGAUUGUCUGUUGUUUCACGUGGAGAACGAGGCUUAGAGGGUACGUAGCCGCAGGCCUCUCGGCAGCCGGGGACGUGCCCCGUGCUGGUCUCCGAUGCCAGCAGUGAGUCCCUUAUUAAAUUGUGACGUGUAUUAGUGGUAGUAGGUUUAUAUGUAGGCAUAUAUUUGUUAUAUUUGGUAUUAACUUGCCUAAUAAAUAGGCAGUAUUAGUGAAACCAAGAUUUCAGGAGGAUGGCUACUGGAAAACCGAAGGAGUUAAAUGUUUUUCCCAUUAGACUCAGUUGUCUUUUUCUAAAAUCAGCUGAGGAAGCUGUGUGACAGAUGACAACGACCAGGAGAAGUUCAAGUAUUCUUUAUUCAAAGUUGAAAAAUGUACCACACUGCAUUAUUGCAAAAAUUCACUGGUACAAAACACUUUGCAGCUGGUGAGAAGGCAAUAAAAAGUUGAUUUUUAAACUCAUUACUAUAAAUUAUUCUUACAGUACUUAGCAAAUUCAGAAUUUCAAACUGCAUUUUCUUUUUCUAAAUCGCCCACAGUACUCGAGGUUCCUGAAGCUAAGGCAGCUGUUCCAAGAGGAGAAGGGGGGAGGUAGCAGACGUCAAGGGAUUUCCAUUUCUCUUUCGAUGCCCACGUACUUGAGGGCGUCAGCCUGGCUGUAUCUGAAACAAACGGCAAGAAAAAGG